This is a long non-coding RNA of Felis catus (domestic cat), 3680 nucleotides long. RefSeq lists it as uncharacterized. NCBI's taxonomy places the organism in Eukaryota, Metazoa, Chordata, Mammalia, Carnivora, Felidae. The record is from RefSeq and is a predicted model, not a curated record. The transcript is spliced from 4 exons.
GCCGCUCAGCCUGCGGUUGUGGGCCGAGCCCAGAGUACCUUCCCGGGAGUGGGGGCGAGCCCUUCGAGGGGGCGCAGAGCCCUGGGACGCCCGGGGGAGGGGCGGAGGUGGAGGAACGCUUGACCUGGCUGGCGACCCACACCCAUCCGGCGGUGCAGCACUUUCCUCCGCCCCCAGUUACACACGCACUCACGGGGGCGGGUGGGGGGAGCAGUGGCUGUGCAAAGCCCCGCGCUGCCACCGCGGCGGGAGGGAUGCGCCAGCUUUUGGGUCAACGUGCCCCCCAGAAUGAGGGAGAAAGUGCUUUGCUCUUCGGGCCUGCCCCGUUCUUCUGUCCACGUUAGAAGAGUUUUUGUUGUUCUGCAGCUGUAUGGGACUGACCUUAAACUUUCCCCGACCUCUUCUCGAGACCCUGGGGCUCGGGUCGUGGUGGCCACCGGGGAUCGAGGAUCCAAAUAUAUGGAAAAGAAGGAACUCCAGUGCCCAGCUUAUCUCUACCCUGCUUUUUAGAAACAGACUAUAAAUUCCCAGGAGGUUUCGGGAGUUCACGUCUGCACUCACCAGCUAACCUUUGGGAAAAACCUUUUGAUUCGGGGUCCUGGUGUACUUAAAGGCUAGUCCCUGAAGGUGCGCGUGAUGGAAAAAAGGGCUUCCACCCCAGUCGCGCCCCAAGAUGCUCUCCAAGUUUUGGUGUCCCGUUUGCUCUGAGCUUAUCCUGGAGAAUUUCAGCUUGUUAUCUAGGCCACCCAUGACCGACGAAAGAUCUUCCCUCCCGGCUUCUCCCAAGGCCGCUUUAACCCAAAUAAAUUUGGCUAUUAAGGGCCAAGAUGCCUGACAAAAGAUCGAAAGGUGUCUAUCCGUGAUCGCUUAAAGAAGCGGAGGAAAAGCUUGUGGCUCUCUGAUCCCGAUAAAGACAUUCCACCCGGCGCCGGCCUCCCUUCCCGCGGCCUGGCUGCGCCCUGACACCCUGAGAUCGCGGCCUCACUGGCGCACACCUCCACGGGCCCGGCGGGACCUGUGUCCGCUGCACCGGGAAUGUGGAGGUCCCCAGGCUGCCUGGGUCCCCGGGUCCGUGGAACUCCAGGCCGGACGGAGCUGGGCUCCCAAAACAGACACCCUGCACUUGCCAGAAAAACUCAACCGAGCUCACUGGGGCCUGAAUUACCGUCCCGUUUUGAUUAUUUUCUGAUGUUGAAUAAUUCUACCUUCCCACCCCCCACUCCCUGGGGUUUUGCCGAGGGGCGAUGUUAUUCCAUAUCUCUGGUUGUCUGGAGCAGCCCUUCUUUGGAACCCCGGUCAGAACCUGAUGGGUGGAACUGGACAGCUGAAUUAGACCGAGGCCAAUGCGGCGGGUGUGGACUCGCAAAUGAAGAGCGUGCAGAGAGAGAGAGAGCGUGUGUGUGCGUGCAGGUGUGCAAGCAAGAAAGGGACAGAGAGAGAGAGAGAGAGAAUCCCAAGGAGGCUCCAUCCGCACUGUCCACGAAGAACCCGACUCGGAGCUUAAACCUGCAAAUCGUGAGAUCAUGACCUGAGCUGAAAUCAAGAAGCACAAGCUGAACCCACUGAAAGAUGCGCCAUCGAGAAGAACAAAUAAGUCCCUAGUUCCCACCUCUUCUGAUUCUCCAGCCGUCCAUCCCUGGAGAUUCUUUCUCAGCCAGGAUGCAAUCUUCAUCACCGGGAGAAUUUGACCCUCUUCUUUGAAACACUUCAGGGUGUGGUGGGGUUUUUGGUCUUUGUUGCUAAGUACGGUUACUUAGAUGCCUCUUGCAAGAGAAAGGGGCUGUUUUCCUCUCGACUUUCUUUUCUACUGAAGUGACUGGAAACAGGUGUACAGAUUGGGACAUGAGAUGGUGUAGAAAUCCUAGUACCGCGGACCAUGCAGGAAGAAUCUCUGGGCGAGGGAAGGGUCGCUCUUGAUUCGCCAGAGUGUCCUACAUCGGCUUGUGUGUCAUCCAGCAUGCGUAGUGCCAAGUUCUGCUUCCUAAGCCUUUCUCUUCCUUAGUGAGUGACAGAGAGGGGAGGUGGAUGAGGUGAGAUACCUUUCUAUUUGGGUCAACACCAGUAAAUUAAUUAAGAGUAAGCAAGGUGUUGCAGGUUGGUUUCCAAAAGAAAUAGUCUGUUAGAAUCAUCUUUUUCUGUUUUCAAUUCAUCAGAGAAACCAUAAAAUCCCUGAGAUUUUGAGCUCUCCAGAUGAUUCUAACAGGCAGCCAGUGUUGAGAACCACUAGUCUCCCCCUCCCAAAUAGACACCUGUCUAUCAAUAAGGCUUUUUUUUUUUUUAGUAGGCUCCAUGCCCAGCAUAAAGCCCAAUGUGGGGCUUGAACUCAUUACCCUGAGAUCAAGACCUGAGCCAAGACCAAGGUUGGACAUUCAACCGACUGAGCCACCCAGGCGCCGUUCUAUAAGGCUUUUGAAGAAAGUGCAUUAAGUCAGUCCCUUUGCUUGGAAUAUAUUCAAAUAGGCACUACCCGAAACUCACUCCACACCCUGGAGCCAGCAUGUUAGAGAAGCAGCUGUCCCUGACAGGGUAUUAGGCACCCACCUCCCUGUUUCCCAUGAAUAUGUUCAUACAGAUGAACUCUGUUGCAAGUUAACUUUAGACCAGAAGGGAGAAAAGCUGUCUCACAAAUCCAGAGAGAUGUGGACGAGCACGGGAACAUUUGCCUCCUGUCCCUGAUCCCCUAGACCGGGAUGCUGAGUACUAUGAGAUAAUUCUGUGUGUAUAAGUUGUAGGUCUUUUACAAGGGUCCUAUUCAUUUGAACCCCACAAUUUUCCCUUUCGGGGAUGCCUUAUGGGUAGGUCUUCAAAUGCAGAAAGAGUCACCAUAUAGGUCACUCCAAGUGACAUAUAUGUACAUAUAUCUCUCCCACACACUCAAGCUUAAUGACAAAAGUCCAGCUAAAUCUGAAUUAAUUAGACCUCAAGGAGGCCAUUUGUCUCUUAAGGAAAUGAGCCUUACACAAAGGCGCAUGCCCCUUCGGAGCUUCUUUGGUGGAAACAGAUUCCCCACCCUCAGACUGGAUGCCCAGAGUGCUGUAGCCUGAUGACCCAGGGGGAUGCCAGUUACCCGUAGGUACAGGGCACCUCCGGUGUGGCCAUAGCAGGCAGGCAACUGCAGGAAUCUGGUCUCCUCACUACGGGGUUCAGCUGUCACACCUGCUAUCUUUAUUGUUUAGAUAUAUUAAUGGUUUUCUUUCAUUCACUCACAUAAAUCAAAGAGGCCCACAUGUUCCAGAUAACUCUAGAUAAAGUGUGGCAGCCAUCCAUCCAAGGCAAGCCAUAGCACAGUGCAGGAAAUGCUCCCUGAACAGCAGCCUCACAUCUCAGACUUUCGAGGAAAUUCCCAAUAUAUUUAUAAAGCAGGUGCCUGCACACAUAUAAUGCUAACUAUCGGUUGACACCAGUGUGAGGGCCUUUCAAUCCUCAGUGGAAAUAGAGCCAUUGAAAAUAUAUACCUGAAAAGAAAUCAGUUUGAUUUAUACGAUCCCUGACAUGUAUUUAGAAGUGUAACAGAAGAGCCAACCAUAUUUGUUUACUAAAAAAUAUGCCAACGGGUACCUGGCUGGCUCAGUCAGUAGAGCAUGAGACUCUUGAUCUCAGGGUGGUGAGUUCAAGCCCCAAGUUGGGCACGGAACCUACUUAAAGACAAAAAAAAGCCAAGAGGCGCCUGCGUGGCUCAG